Molecule: long non-coding RNA, 535 nt
Organism: Phoenix dactylifera (date palm)
Lineage: Eukaryota; Viridiplantae; Streptophyta; Magnoliopsida; Arecales; Arecaceae
Source: RefSeq, a predicted model, not a curated record
CCAUCUUACUUUCCCUUCGCUUCCGUCCUCGUCUAUUGUCUCUCCCGUGAUUCCGUGAAAGAAAGAGAUAAGGCAAUCUCCAGUUCUUCUCCUUCUCCCAUUGCUGUGGAAUCGGAUAUUCCGGUCAUCCGCCAUAGCAUCAGAGAGGAAAGGAUAAUAGCAGCGUUUGGAAGGCGAUGCGAAUCGUGGUGGAGAUGUCGCUGCCAUGCCUUAUCCUGCUCGCGAUCCUGGCCCUUGCUUGCUACCUUGUUGGUUGGGCCAGGGGCCGGUCCGACUUCCCAGCACUACGGGCCGCCUGGCCUCCAGGAAAAGUAAGGGUCUUACAUGGAUAUCACAUAUAAACAACUACUACUCUCACCAUAUGAGCUUGAUUGUGGUUUUAUUUGUAAGAUAUGAUGUUGGUGGGUUUGAUAUGCUUUUUUUGCGUCUUUGUUAAGCAUGGGUUUUAAACAAUAAUUUUAUAUUUGUUUUAUUAUUAUUCAGUUGACUAGUUUGAUAAACAUGACCCUCAAUCUUGGUUAGUUAACUUCUUAAA